Molecule: ribosomal RNA, 506 nt
Filed under: uncultured bacterium
Lineage: Bacteria
Description: partial 16S ribosomal RNA
Rfam family: Bacterial small subunit ribosomal RNA
Source: RNAcentral
AGUGAACGCUGGCGGUAGGCCUAACACAUGCAAGUCGAACGGCAGCACAGAGGAGCUUGCUCCUUGGGUGGCGAGUGGCGGACGGGUGAGGAAUACAUCGGAAUCUACUCUGUCGUGGGGGAUAACGUAGGGAAACUUACGCUAAUACCGCAUACGACCUACGGGUGAAAGCAGGGGAUCUUCGGACCUUGCGCGACUGAAUGAGCCGAUGUCGGAUUAGCUAGUUGGCGGGGUAAAGGCCCACCAAGGCGACGAUCCGUAGCGGGUCUGAGAGGAUUAUCAGCCAAACUGGAACUGAGACACGGUCCAGACUCCUGCGGGAGGCAGCAGUGGGGAAUAUUGGACAAUGGGCGCAAGCCUGAUCCGGCCAUACCGCGUGGGUGAAGAAGGCCUUCGGGUUGUAAAGCCCUUUUGUUGGGAAAGAAAUCCAGCUGGCUAAUACCCGGUUGGGAUGACGGUACCCAAAGAAUAAGCACCGGCUAACUUCGUGCCAGCCGCCGCAGUAA